CGGACGGGGGAGUAAUGUCUGGGAAACUGCCUGAUGGAGGGGGGUAACUACUGGAAACGGUAGCUAAUACCGCAUAACGUCGCAAGACCAAAGAGGGGGACCGUUAGGGCCUCUUGCCAUCGGAUGUGCCCAGAUGGGAUUAGCUAGUAGGUGGGGUAACGGCUCACCUAGGCGACGAUCCCUAGCUGGUCUGAGAGGAUGACCAGCCACACUGGAACUGAGACACGGUCCAG
RNAcentral lists this ribosomal RNA (233 nucleotides) under uncultured bacterium. RNAcentral describes it as "partial 16S ribosomal RNA". It matches the Rfam family "Bacterial small subunit ribosomal RNA", at positions 99 to 334 of the family's 1533-position model. The record is from RNAcentral.